This 1395-nucleotide ribosomal RNA is filed under the name Triticum aestivum (bread wheat). Its description in RNAcentral is "partial small subunit ribosomal RNA". Lineage: Eukaryota; Viridiplantae; Streptophyta; Magnoliopsida; Poales; Poaceae. The record is from RNAcentral.
AUGAGCUGCCAAGAAGGCGCCAUGCCGGCGGCGGCGGUGGCGCAGCCGCACGUCCUCCUCGUGUCGUGCCCGCUGCAGGGCCACGUGAACCCGCUACUCCGCCUCGGCCGGCGCCUCGCCGCCAGGGGCCUCCUCGUCACCUUCACCACCAUCCUCCGCGGCGCCAUCCACCGCGACGACGGCGCCUCCUCGGGCGGCGUCCUAUUCGAGUACCGCCCUUGCGGCGACGACGACGGCUCACACGAACGGACGAUGGCACCCAACGACAUGCUACGGCACGUCGUGGACGUGGGCCCCGCGGUGCUGGCCGACAUGGUCCGGCGCCACGCCGACGCCGGCCGGCCGGUCUCCUGCAUCGUCAACACCACCUUCGUGCCCUGGGCGCUCGACGUGGCCCGGGAGCUGGGCGUCCCCUGCGCCACCUUGUGGAACCAGUCCUGCGCCGUGCUGUCGCUCUAUUACCAUUUCUACAACAACGACGCGCCAGUGCUGCUGCCCGGGCUGCCGGCCAUGUCCGUGGACGAGCUGCCGACCUUGGUCCGACCCGAGUUCGCGCACAACCUAUGGGGCCAGAUGCUCAGGGCGCAGCUCGUGCAGGUGCGGGAGAAGGCACCGUCAUGGGUGCUCGGAAACACCUUCCACGAGCUUGAGUGCACCGCCAUCGACGCGCUUCGGGCUCGCGCCGUCCCGGUCGCGCCCGUCGGCCCCCUCCUGGACGAUGAGCCGGCCGUGGCCGGCGACGACGGCUGCGUGAUGGCGUGGCUCGACGCGCAGCCGCCGCGCUCUGUCGUGUACGUGGCGUUCGGCAGCAUCGUGGACAUCGGGCGGGACGAGACGGCCGCCCUGGCGGAGGGACUCGCCAGCACUGGCAGGCCGUUCCUGUGGGUGGUGCGCGACGACCUCCUCCACCUCCCGGAGCCCGUCUUCGCCGCCUGCCGCGGAGACACCAGCAGGAUCGUGGCGUGGUGCCCGCAGGGGCGCGUGCUCCGGCAUGGCGCGGUCGGGUGCUUCGUAACGCACUGCGGGUGGAACUCCGUCACCGAGGCGCUGGCCGCGGGGGUGCCGGUGGUCGCGUACCCGUGGUGGUCGGACCAGUUCACCAACGCCAAGUUCCUGGUGGAGGAGUACGGGAUCGGCAUCCGGCUGCCGGCGCCGGUGACGCAGGAGGCGCUCCGUGCGUGCGUCAACGAGGUGAUGGGCGGACCGGAGGCGGCAGCGAUCCGGAGGAGGGCGACGGCGUGGAAGGAGGAAGCAGCGGCAGCGCUGGCCGACGGCGGGUCAUCGGACAGCGGCCUCGACGCUUUCGUUGACUUCUUGCGAGCGGCCGUAGGAUCUCGUGCAGUUGACACGAUUAGCUCGCCGCCGGCAAAGCAGGGAUCAGUCAGUUCGUUAUAA